This 1938-nucleotide long non-coding RNA is filed under the name Triticum aestivum (bread wheat). RNAcentral describes it as "long non-coding RNA (TAES_LNC005269)". The record is from RNAcentral. Lineage: Eukaryota; Viridiplantae; Streptophyta; Magnoliopsida; Poales; Poaceae.
AGUAUCUCAUUUUUAGAUCUCAUGUUCCUCAAGGUAAUGGACAGGAAUAUGUUUUUGGUAGUAUGGCAGAAUUGGCAGUCCUUAGUCCAAAUUUUGGAUAAUGUUAAACACAUGUUGUGCCGAAUUGGCAGCCCUUCAUCCGAAUUUUCUUGAUAAUGAUACACCAUUUGGCAAUAGAUUCUCUACAAAACUUAAAAUCGACUAUAAUGAUACACCAUACUGAUGCUCUAAAUCAUCCUCACGAAAAAACAUCUUAAGUUAUUGCUAAAACCUAAUUUUAUCAUCAAAGCGUAACAUGGUUUUCAUUGGAACUUUCUGUUACCAAAUUUAAAUGUGUGUGUACAUUGCAUUGUACAGAACAAGCAAGCAUUCUUUUUAUUAUCAUUAUAAAGAGUGUUAAAUUUGUUACCAUAUGUGCUUGCCCAUAAUUAAACUAACUAAACCAUGGGUUUUCUUUUCAGUCCGGACAUGGAUUUAGCGGGUCUCUGCGUCAUUGGGCGCAACGGGUUCACUACUUUGCUAAAUAUUCCACUUUAACUUUAGUGAUUGGUUAGUUAUUCUACUUCUUUUGGCUAAAUGUUCAGGAACAAUCGCACAUCUGAAAUAACUAAUCGACAUUGAUUUUUGCUAAAUAUUCCACUUCUUUUGUCAGUUUGUAGUUGAUUUCUAGCUAUGAUUUACAUAUUCUACUUCUUUGUCCAACCCAUAGCGUGACUGGAGAGCGACGUAAGCGAUGUCGACCGUGGCCUAUGCCCAGGUGAUCUCUCCCGUUGUUCUUCUCUUUGAUCCUGCCCUCUACGUCUCCUGUUGGCGGCCCAUAUAUGGCGUUUACAAGGAUGUCGCCUUUGGCAUGGCGUCCUUGCUGCCACAGUAAAAUUUGUUCAAGUGAGAAAGCUUUGAAUAGUAGAGCCCUCCUUUAUUUUUUCCAUGGGCAGAGUGGGUGGAGGUACAGAGCCUCAAGAUGUCACAAAGAAUCUUAUCUUUAUUUCAUAGUGAACUUAGAAGGGUUUUCUAUCUUAAUAUGAUAAUGCAGGCUUCCUUACCUUGACCAGAAUUUAGCGUUUUGUUGCUCCUUACCAUGCAAUGUGGCUUCAGCACCAUUUUUAAAAUAUAAGCCAUCAUUUGUGCCGGUCCUUAUCAAAGGGGAUUUUGAUGUUCUCGCUGAAACAGAGGACUUGAAUUGAUGAAUUCUAGGAUUAGUAAACAUUAGCACAAUCCUGAUUAUCCAGUUGAGAAAUCUUAUAUUUUAAUUGUGAUAGGUAAUGUAGACUACAAGAGUUGUCUUCUAAGUUUUGCAAAUUCUUCUGUUAGUAGCUAAUGCUGUUUAGAAAUUUUGAUUUCCCUUUUUGUUGUAGCUCUUCAUUUUCGUCACUAGUUUACAUUUAUUUUGUAUCUUUCUCAUUCUGUUCAUAACAUUUUUUCAUGUUUCUUCCUUUUUAUAGAGGUAUUUUGAUGUUGUGUCGAGAAUUUUGGCUAAUUGACGGCUCAAAUGAUUACAAGCAUAUGAUCUUGUCAGCUUGAGUGAUUCCGGGCAUAUCAACUAUAGGCAAACGUGACAUAGAAGAUUCUUGCUUUCCUUUUUUUGUUUUGGUUAAAUUGCAGUCAAGCUACUUACAUACGACUCUUAUCAGGGCAUCUCAGAAUUCUCAAACGGAGCUGCUUCUGUUUUAGCCUGAUUUACGUUUCUACUGUAGGUGUAGCUCUAUGACGGUACAAACUUUUUGCAAUGUUGAAGAGAAGAACAACGUGUUACCUGUUUAUGCUUUUAAUAUGGCUUGAUAGACAGGCCCUGUUGUGGGACAGGAACCUAAUAUUGUUGUUUUUAAUGUUGGAACAAAUGAUCAUUUGAUCUAUGUGCAAUUGCAUUGGCUAUUUCUCAACCGGUGGAGAUCGAAUUUAUAAUUAUAUUGACAUGCCCCCUAUGCUUCCUGUUAUUGG